Molecule: ribosomal RNA, 1110 nt
Filed under: Salmonella enterica
Lineage: Bacteria; Pseudomonadati; Pseudomonadota; Gammaproteobacteria; Enterobacterales; Enterobacteriaceae
Description: partial 23S ribosomal RNA
Rfam family: Bacterial large subunit ribosomal RNA
Source: RNAcentral
AGACCCGAAACCCGGUGAUCUAGCCAUGGGCAGGUUGAAGGUUGGGUAACACUAACUGGAGGACCGAACCGACUAAUGUUGAAAAAUUAGCGGAUGACCUGUGGCUGGGGGUGAAAGGCCAAUCAAACCGGGAGAUAGCUGGUUCUCCCCGAAAGCUAUUUAGGUAGCGCCUCGUGAAUUCAUCUCCGGGGGUAGAGCACUGUUUCGGCUAGGGGGCCAUCCCGGCUUACCAACCCGAUGCAAACUGCGAAUACCGGAGAAUGUUAUCACGGGAGACACACGGCGGGUGCUAACGUCCGUCGUGAAGAGGGAAACAACCCAGACCGCCAGCUAAGGUCCCAAAGUCAUGGUUAAGUGGGAAACGAUGUGGGAAGGCCCAGACAGCCAGGAUGUUGGCUUAGAAGCAGCCAUCAUUUAAAGAAAGCGUAAUAGCUCACUGGUCGAGUCGGCCUGCGCGGAAGAUGUAACGGGGCUAAACCAUGCACCGAAGCUGCGGCAGCGACACUGUGUGUUGUUGGGUAGGGGAGCGUUCUGUAAGCCUGUGAAGGUGUGUCGUGAGGCAUGCUGGAGGUAUCAGAAGUGCGAAUGCUGACAUAAGUAACGAUAAAGCGGGUGAAAAGCCCGCUCGCCGGAAGACCAAGGGUUCCUGUCCAACGUUAAUCGGGGCAGGGUGAGUCGACCCCUAAGGCGAGGCCGAAAGGCGUAGUCGAUGGGAAACGGGUUAAUAUUCCCGUACUUGGUGUUACUGCGAAGGGGGGACGGAGAAGGCUAUGUUGGCCGGGCGACGGUUGUCCCGGUUUAAGCGUGUAGGUGUGUGUUCCAGGUAAAUCCGGUUCACUUUAACACUGAGGCGUGACGACGAGGCACUACGGUGCUGAAGCAACAAAUGCCCUGCUUCCAGGAAAAGCCUCUAAGCAUCAGGUAACAUCAAAUCGUACCCCAAACCGACACAGGUGGUCAGGUAGAGAAUACCAAGGCGCUUGAGAGAACUCGGGUGAAGGAACUAGGCAAAAUGGUGCCGUAACUUCGGGAGAAGGCACGCUGACACGUAGGUGAAGUGAUUUACUCAUGGAGCUGAAGUCAGUCGAAGAUACCAGCUGGCUGCAACUG